CAGCGGGGGCCGGCCCCGGUGUCCCACAGGCCCUGAGGGACAAGGGACAGGCCCAGGGACAAAGCGGGGACAGGCCCGAGGUGCGGGGACAAAGGCGGGGACAGGCCCCAGGUGUGGGGACAAAGGCGGGACAGGCCCGAAGUGCGGGGACAAAGGCGGGGACAGGCCCCAGGUGUGGGGACAAAGGCGGGGACAGGCAACCCCUGCAGUUCGAGGGUGGUAGGAGGCCACAGGUCAGUCCCCGGGAGGGCCAGGCAGGAGGUGGGCCCAGCGGGGCUGAGAAAUGAGAGGCCGGUGCCCCUACGCUCACUGCAGGGGAUGUCAGAGGGCGAGUGGUUGCUCAGUCACACCCACACCCGUGUGUACAGGACCCACGCCUGCCCGCCUUGCCUGCCCGCCUUGCUGUGGUGCCUGUUCAUGGCUCACACGUGGGCUCGCACAGCUUCUCCCAUUAUUCAGGUGCUGCCGGGCCCUGCAGGGUUCAGAUCGUCCCUGUGCUGCUUGGCGGGGUCACCCUCACACCUGCCCUGGCGGCCCCACCUGCCCAGCUUCUCUCCCCUCAGUGCUGUCUGUCCCGGAGCCUCCCAUCAAUGGGACCAGAGUGCUCCUUGCUGGCUGCUGCUGCCUGUGCUCCACAAGAUGCCUGAGAGCCACCCAGGCACCGGACUUGCCAACACGCAGACACACACCUGGGCCGCAUGGCCCUGAGCACACACCUUGCCCAACCCUCCUCCGGGCCGCAGUGCGGGCGCCAGCUGCCACCUGCUGGCGAACUGCAGCAUCACGGCUCUCGCCCUCCGGAACCUUCCACAGCACCACACCAGCCUCUGGUCUGGCUGCAGAUGGCUUGGGCUGGGCAGGGAAGCAUCCGCUGUCAGGGAGCCUGGGACCACAGACUUUGCUCCAAGCGCCCGGGGCGGGUAGGGGCCAGGUCCAGUCUGAGGAGUCCUACCUCCCUGAGGUAGACAGAGCUGGGCAGACAUGGAGGAGACAUGGGGGCUGCAGCCCUGGCCCCACUGCCCGACUCUCCCUCUGCAUUUUGGGAGCCGGCAAGAUCCAAGGGGGUCCCCAAGGCCCUGAGGCUGCACCGAGCACCCCUUUCCUGCUAGUUUUCAGACGCAGCGAUGCCCUAGACACCCGGGGAGAGGUGACCCCCAGCAGGAAGCUGGGCCUGGUUUCUGUCCCUCCACAGCCACAAGGCCUGGCCAGGACGCCGGGAGCACCAGACCCUGGAGACUCAGCUCACCGAGGACUCGGGCGGGGGCUUCUCCCGGUGCCUGGGAAGCUGGGUUCCCACCCCCUGGACUCCCACCCAGACCUCAUCUCAAGCCAGCAAGAUAGGAAUGUGGAUGACAGGACUGCUGGCCACAGAGGAUCUGGUGUGGGCAGCCGUCAGGACGAGGGUAGUGUGGGCGGCCACGGCAGUUGGUGCUAUUGCUGGAAGGGGCCGAAGGUAAGGCCCUUCUGGGCUGUGAGUCCCUGA
RNAcentral lists this long non-coding RNA (1483 nucleotides) under Macaca fascicularis (crab-eating macaque). RNAcentral describes it as "lncRNA (ENSMFAG00000063350.1)". The record is from RNAcentral. Lineage: Eukaryota; Metazoa; Chordata; Mammalia; Primates; Cercopithecidae.